AGGCUGACACGUGGUGCCUUCAGGCUCUGGGGCCUAGGACCUUUGUGAUAGCAGAGUCACUGCAGAGAACCAGACAAUACCAGGUUGCUUAUAAAAGGAUGCCAUGUGCUUGCUGGAGGUCCCAGGUGCAAACAAAUUGCUUGCAGCUAGGAGGACCUUGAAGAGAAAUGGAAUCAGCCUGCCAAACCAAGAAGGGUUAGCAUUUUUGCUAGGAGAGCUGACCACGCACAAACAGAUGAGAACCAAAACCGAGUGAAGAGGAUUGAAGAUGAACCCACAUUUUAAAAGUUCUUGUCUGCUGGAGGUGGCAUUACCUGUGACCUCGCUUCACUUCUCCAUACAUGGCUGUUAUAGCAGAAAAUCCAGCUUUCUGAAGCAUAUUUCACGACAUAUGAUGAGACUUAUGUGAUGUGAGACCUGAGAAAACUAUGAUAGAAAGAAGCAACUCAAGCUGCAAGGAUAUUCCUCAUGUAUCAUGCAAGGAUAUUCCUCAUGUAUCAUAGACUAAGGUGUCACUAUGUUCUUCAAGCUGCUCUGCUCCUGGGCCCAAGCUAUUCUCCUGCCUCAGCCUUCCAAGAAGCUGAAACUACAAGAACAUGAGACUUUACCUGGCUUGCAAACACCAUUGCUAAUAAGAAGAUAUUGUAAGACUGAUACCUAAGAGAUAAGAGACAUGGAUCCCUGAGGUCGGUCCCCAAUACGACAAGACAAUUUGAUAUCAGAACACUGCAGAAACAAUGCUGAGUGAAGAAGAGUAGAAAUGGGAAGACUUGGUUGAGCGGAAACUGAGUUCUUGAAAAGAGGAGAUGCUUGAUGAGGGAUCAGACUCUGUUGCCCAGACUGGAGUGCAGUGGCAGGAUCAUGGCUCAGUGCAGCCUCAACCUCCCUGGACUCAGGUGAUCCUUUCACCUCCACUUCCUGAGUAGCUGGGACUACAGGCAUGGAUCCCUGAGGUCUGCCCCAGUACUAUAAGACAAUUUGAUGUAAGAAAACACAGCAGAUAUAAUACUGAGUGAAGAAGAGUAUAAAUGAGAAGAUUGGCUGUGCAGAUACUGAGUUCAUGAAAAGAGGAGAUGAUUCAUGAGGCCAGGUGCGGUGACUCACGCCUGUAAUCCCUGCACUUUGGGAGGCUGCGGCGGGCGGAUCACCUGAGGUCGGGAGUUCGAGACCAGCCUGGGAGACAGAGCAUGGAAACCUAAGGUCUGUCCCCCAAACUACAAGACUAUUUGACAUCAUAAUAAAACACUGCAGAUAUGAUGCUGAGUGAGUAAGAGUAGAAAUGGGAAGACUUGGUUGUGCAGUAACUGAGUUCUUGAAAAGAGGAGAUGCUUGAUGAGGGCAUGGAUCACUAAGGUCUGUUCCCAAUACAAGAAGACUCUUUGACAUCAUAAUAAAAUACUGCAGAUACAAUGCUGAGUGAAAAAGAGUAGAAAUGGGAAGACUUGGUUGUGCAGAAACUGAGUUCUUAAAGAGAGGAGAUACUUUAUGAGGGCAUGGAAAGCUAAGGUCUUUCCAGAAUACUACAAGAGUACUUGAUAUCAUAAUAAAACACCGUAGAUAUGAUGCUGAGUGAGUAAGAGUAGAAAUGGGAAGACUUGGUUGUGCAGAAACUCAGUUAUUAAAAGGAGGCGAUGCUUGAUGAGGGUGAGUGGAUUACAUCUCAGUUUAAUAUCCAAUGGAAACUAAAAGCAAAUUGCUGAGUGGAAUAUGUUUACACAAAUUGAGCAAAAUGUUGGGGAGCCAUAGUUUCUGGUGUCUUUGUCUCUUCAUGGCCUUUUUUAAGAAACAUGUAGUGAUGUAUCUGUAAAAAUUCCACAAAAAACUGAUAGUGUCUACUUUACUAAAGUAAUAUUCCUGAGGCCCUAUGUUAAGAUUUACCUUUAUUUAUAUUGAAGGCGUGAAAUGUUGAGAUAUAAGACUUAGUACUGGGCUGGGUGAGGUGGCUCACACCUGUAAUCCCAGCACUUUGGGAGGCUGAGGUGGGCGGAUCACGAGGACGGCAUUUCGAGACCAGCCUGACCAAUAUGGUGAAACUCCAUGGGCGUGGUGGUGCACGCCUGCAAUCCCAGCUGCUCAGGAGGCUGAGGCAGGAGAAUCCCUUGAACCCGGGAUGCAGACCUUGCAGUGAGCGGAGAUCCCACCACUGCACGCCAGCCUAGGCGACAGAGCGAGACUCUAUCUCAAAAAAAAAAAAAAAAAAAAAAAAAAGAGUUAGUACUGGUGACAUUCUAAUAAAAUCACGCUCCUCAAAUGUUUGUUAAAAUACACACUCGGGGUGGGUGGGCGCGGUGGCUCACACCUGUAAUCCCAGCACUUUGGGAGACCGAGGCGGGCGGAUCACGAGGUCAAGAGAUCGAGACCUUCCUGGCUAACACAGUGAAACGCCGUCUCUACUAAAAAGUACAAAAAAUUAGCAGGGCGUGGUGGCGGGCGCCUGUAGACCCAGCUAGGCGGGAGGCUGAGGCAGGAGAAUGGCGUGAACCCGGGAGGUGGAGCUUGCAGUGAGCAGAGAUGCACCACUGCACUCCAGCCUGGGCGACAGAGCGGAGACUCCGUCUCAAAAAAAAAAAAAAAAAAAAACACUUGGUGUGGUCCAAAUCACAGUGUACACAGUAAUUCACUUUUAACACAGAUCAAGAUUCCUGAUGAGGGCGGGUGGUUUAGGCCUUGGUUUCAUUUGAACUGGAAACCAAAAGAAAAAGCUCAGCAGUAAGACUAGCUGGCUGCAAACUGGGCUAAAUGUAAGGCACCCAUUCUGCAGGGCCUUUGUCUAUAGGUGGCGUUUUUUCAGACAGGAGGGGCGGGAAAAGAGGGCUCUGGAACAGUGCUUCUUCCCAUACCUGAAGCACUACUGCCAUCGCGAGGAUGUUGUUUAACAAAUCCCUACGCCAUUACGGUGUUCUCCUGAGGACUAGUUGUUGGGGAAGUUCUCCUCUGUGGGUAGGUGGAAAAGGCUUGCUCCAUGCUGGGAGUCCUAGCCUUCUCGUCUAAGGCCUUAAAGGACACCAGGACUUUGGCGGUGUCUUGGUAUAGAACCUGGAGUGUGAAGGUUCUAAUACCAAAUCCUGUAAACUUCCCUGGAAUAAACCUGUUGUUUGUGCGCGGUACUGGUGCUACCAGAGACCCAAAGACCCGUAGCAAGAUGCUAGUUCGAGAAAGCCUGCUGAUUCUUGCUCCAAGGGACAGGAAGAAGAGACAGAUGCCCACAAGAGCCUCCAUGUGCGUUUGAAUGGGUGCCUUCAGUCCUGCCCACACUUGGAGGAACCGAGGCCCCGCCCUACGUCUUCCUGUGCCAGGAUCGCCUGGCAGCUGCUGGUUCACUACAAGCCCCUCACUCUCCUGGUUCUACACCAAGCUACUACCAAUGUUAAGGCCUCUCUUCAGGCCUUAGAGGAGAAAGCUAGAAGACCUAGCCUGGAGCCCAAGCGUCUACCACCUCCCACAGUUCAGACUUCCCUCCACAGCAAGUCUUUCUGGGAAGAACGCUGUAAUGGCGUAUUGUGUCGUCAAACGAUUUCCUCACGGUGGCAGUGGUGCUUCACAUUGUUAAGGAAUCCCUAUCUCGGAGCCCUUUUCUCUCGCCCUUCCCGUCUGAAAAAACGCCACCCAGAGACAAAGGUGCCACCCAAUAUGGCUGCCUGGAGAUUUGUCCAGUUUGGUGCAACCUGGUCUUACUGUUGCAUUUUUACUUUUUUUUUUUUUCCAUCUGAAAGCAAAAUGAGGCCUAAACCACCCAUGCUUCUCAAGAAUCCUGUUGUUUCAGAAAUUAAAUAUACUCCUCACUGAAGCUAUCUGGGUAUGAUUUACCUCACACAGUUACAAGUCCUGGAAGUUCCAUGGUAUCAAAUUGUCUCCUUCAGGUGAUACAUUGGAUGGAUGAAGGUACAAAAACAAAGACAGAUAUCUAAGAGACAGAUAUCAAAGAGAAAGAAAACCAAUUCAUGAAGUUUGAAAUGCUAAGUGAAAGAAGCAGUACUGAAGCAGGAGAUGUAAAAGAAAAAAAAAAGGGAGAGAAAAGCUGGUUCUCUGUGCUGGGCUGACUCACUCCAAGGCCCAGCGAUAAGUAGAGCUCUGUCAGGACUUUGAUAGCACUAUCAGCAGAGUGGGGGCCCAGAAGGAAUGGGCUCUAGAAGCAGGGAUAAGAAAAACAAGUUAUUUGGCCGGGCACAAUGGCUCACACCUGUAACCCCAGCACUUUGGGAGGCCGAGGUGGGAGGAUCACCUGAGGUCGGGAGUUCAAGACCAGCCUGGCCAACAUGGUGAAACCCCGUCUCUACUAAAAAUACAAAAAUUAGCCAGGCGUGUUGGCCGGCAGCUGUAACCCCAGCUACUUGGAAGGCUGAGACAGGAGAAUCACUUGAACCUGGGAGGAGGAGGUUGCAGUGAACCAAGAUCACACCAUUGCACUCCAGCCUGGGGGACAAGAGCGAGACUUCAUCUAAAAAAAAAAAAAAGAAAAGAAAAACAAGUUCUUUUUAUCAGUUUCCCCUUUGAAAUUCUUUCCCCAUACCAUUAUUCUUUGUUCUGCUCUCACAACUAUUUUUGUAACUGUUUUCGCAAGCUUGUAAAGAUUUUGUAAGUUCCUGUUUUCCAGCUGUGCAGUUAUGGCGAAGGUCACAAAACAUGCCUGAAAUGUAAAACCUGUCACUGUUUGAUAAACUGCCUUUGUUCUGCUUCUGUAAGCUUGCUUACCGGCCUUACAGGUUUUGGGCCCUUUUCAGAUAUAUGUAUAAAAGUCAAGCCCUCUCUUGGUUCGGGGCUCAGCCUUUGGAUGUUAAUCUGCUGAGUCGGUGACCACCUAGUAAAAUCCUCCUGUUCCACCCGUUGGUCUCUCUGGUCUCCCGGUUCCCACAAAAAGAUGAACAAGGCCACUUAUUGUGAUGAUCAGUAGUGAGGGAAAUCAGAUGAGUGUUUGCCAGGGGCUGGGCAGAGAGUGGAAUGGGGAAUGACUAACUAAUGGGUCCAGGAUUUUCUUUUGUGGUAGUGAAAAUGAUUUGCCACUACAUAGUGGUAAUGCUUGCACUGCAUUGUGAGUGUCCUAACUGCCAUUGAAAUUAAUACAUUUUAAUGGUUAAUUUUAUGUUAUAUGCAGUUUACAAACUCAGUUUUUAAAAGUGCCAGUACUUUUAAAGCUAUCAUUAUUUCCAUGAAUUAUUAAUUAUAUUUGAAAAGUACUCCAGUUAUCAGUGAAACAAACUUGUUUUAACAGCUAUAGUACAUGGUGGCCAGUCAAGGUGCCUCAUGCCUGUAAUCCUAGCACUUUGGGAGUCCAAGAUGGGAGGAUCGCUUGAGACCAGCAGUUCGAGAUCAGCCUGGUCAACAGAGUGAAACUCCAUAUCUAAAAUGAAAAAUACAAAAGAAAAAAACAAAAAUAAACAACAACAAGAAGUUAUACUACAGGGGAAUUUGAACAUUAGUUUAUAAAAGUCCAUAUUAUAUAUGUAUAGGGAACAGAUCAUAGCACCUAGCACAGACCUUUUAAAAGUGAUUAUUUCUUCUUUCUAUGUUUGACCUACCACAAGUUUUCUACUUUAUAAUUUCUUACAGUUCUUCUAGAGUAAAAUGUAAAAAAUUUCAAGCACUCAAAAGUAUGUAUUGAUGUAGAUAUAUUCAAAGAGUAUAAGGUGAUGCUGAAUAUGUAUAUGUAUAUACACACAUAUAUAUACACACAUAUAUAUACACUAUAUAUAUAUACACACACACACAUAUAUAUAUAUACAGAUAUGCGUAUAUAUAUAUUUUAGACAGCAUCUUACUCUGUUGCCCAGGGUGGAGUGUAGAGGCAUGAUCAUGGCUCACUGCAACAUCAACCUCCCUGGGCUGAGGUGAUCCUCCCAUUUCCGCCUCCUACGUAGCUAGGGCUUCGAUUGUAGGUCACCAUGCCUACGCCAUGGCUAUUUUUUGUAUUUUUUGAAGAGACGGGGUCUCUCUACAUUGUCAGGGCUGGACUUGAACUCCUAGGCUCAAGCUAUGCACCUGCCUAGGCCUCCCAAAGUGCUGGAAUUACAGUUGUGAGCCACCAUGCCUGGCCAAUGCCAUAUCUUUUUAAUCGUGGUAGGUGUUAUAGUGAGUAUAUGUUUGAAGAUGAUAUUUUUGACCAGUAAAUUCAUAUCUUUAAUUCAUCGUUAUGUAAACAGAGACACUAAUGAAGCACUCUAGCUCCAUGUGAGUUGUGUGAAUGCAUCCAUCUUACAGUUUUCUUAGGUUACACAUCUAGGUGACUGGAAUGUGAGAGAUGCCUAUUUCAACUACCAUUUAUUGA
Molecule: long non-coding RNA, 6262 nt
Organism: Gorilla gorilla gorilla (western lowland gorilla)
Lineage: Eukaryota; Metazoa; Chordata; Mammalia; Primates; Hominidae
Exons: 10
Source: RefSeq, a predicted model, not a curated record